This 496-nucleotide ribosomal RNA is filed under the name uncultured bacterium. RNAcentral describes it as "partial 16S ribosomal RNA". It matches the Rfam family "Bacterial small subunit ribosomal RNA", at positions 29 to 507 of the family's 1533-position model. The record is from RNAcentral.
AUGAACGCUGGCGGCGUGCCUAAUCCAUGCAAGUCGAGCGAACGGACGAGAAGCUUGCUUCUCUGAUGUUAGCGGCGGACGGGUGAGUAACACGUGGAUAACCUACCUAUAAGACUGGGAUAACUUCGGGAAACCGGAGCUAAUACCGGAUAAUAUUUUGAACCGCAUGGUUCAAAAGUGAAAGACGGUCUUGCUGCCACUUAUAGAUGGAUCCGCGCUGCAUUAGCUAGUUGGUAAGGUAACGGCUUACCAAGGCAACGAUGCAUAGCCGACCUGAGAGGGUGAUCGGCCACACUGGAACUGAGACACGGUCCAGACUCCUACGGGAGGCAGCAGUAGGGAAUCUUCCGCAAUGGGCGAAAGCCUGACGGAGCAACGCCGCGUGAGUGAUGAAGGUCUUCGGAUCGUAAAACUCUGUUAUUAGGGAAGAACAUAUGUGUAAGUAACUGUGCACAUCUUGACGGUACCUAAUCAGAAAGCCACGGCUAACUACGUG